Plutella xylostella (diamondback moth) is the source of this 1506-nucleotide long non-coding RNA. RefSeq lists it as uncharacterized. Lineage: Eukaryota; Metazoa; Arthropoda; Insecta; Lepidoptera; Plutellidae. The record is from RefSeq and is a predicted model, not a curated record.
AUUCAUUACGUUUUAACACAUGUUUCAAUCGUUUCUGAACGAGUCUUAAAAAAAAAAAAAAAGAUUCAACUUGACGUUUGACAGCUAACGGGCGGGCAUUCGAAAAUCAGCCGUGAGAAGAGUGUUUUGGUUUAAACGAUAUCUUACUGUAAAUUAGUAAUAAGAAGCGAUAAAUAUACAGAUGCAUUAAUAUUAUAAGCCUGGAAGUUUAAUUACGCAAGCCUGACAACAAUCAGAAGUGGGAUAAGAACGCUGAAAAGAACUUGGAGCUUAGGUUCAGGACGGAUAAGGAACAUAUCGGGAAGUCGGUGAGCCCCGGUGACAGAUGUUGACAGAUAAUGUUGGAUUGAUUAUUGAUUCAUGAAUCAACAAGAACUGUGGCUUUCGGAUGGCUAGACAGACUGAUGAUGAAGAAAACUACCAGUAAAUGCAGGCCGUGGCUCUCGGGUGGCUAAACGGAAGCAUCUGAGUAAGAUUUUUUAAAAUGGAUUUUUCUUUAAUGAACUAAAGCUUUCGGAUGGCUUAAUCAAUAAUUAAUAAGUGCAGGCCGUGGCUCUCGGGUGGCUAAACGGAAGCAAAUAAAAAGUGAAUACAUUACAUAUAUUUUUUGUAUGGAAAAUGUCUUAAUUUAUAUAUUUAUUGUUAAAUUAAUGCAGGCCGUGGCUCUCGGGUGGCUAAACGGAAGCAGACUAGAAUAUUAUUCCAUACAAUCAUGUACUUAAAUGUAAUUUGUGAAUGGAUAAAUAAUAUAAAGAUAUUUCUGGUGGCCAAUUGUACUUAAAUUAUAUUUUCAGAAUUACUAAGGCUCAUGGGUUAUUUAUGAUUGAUAAUACUGUAAUUUUGUAUAAUUGAUAAUACUGUAAUGAUGAGAUAAUGAAUUGAUGAUUGUGACAUAUAUUUAUAAUACACUAAAUGUUUAUUAUUUCAUUUCAAUUAUAAUCAAAGUAUGUUUAAAAAUAAAAACGGAUAAAUGUAUUAAUAAAUGAAAUUAAAGCCUAUUGUUCACUUCACUCAUAAAUGAAUCUAAGACGAUAAGGGUUUUUUUUUUUUUUUUUUUUGUAUAACUGGAAUGUGUUAGAAUUAGUUUUUCAGAAUGACUUUACGUAAAUUGUUUUUAAGUAUAUUUAUGUUAUUAAUUUCAACAAAAAUAAUGUAUUUUUUGUCAUGUUAGAUUGUUUAAUAUAGUAUGUCUCACUUGUUAUCUGUUCUGUAAUGAUUAUGAUAGGUAUGUGGUCAUACCCGUAGUAGAAUGGCCGAACAUUAAUGAGGAAUGGGGACAUUCCCCUAUCAGAAUGGCCGACUGUUAGCAUUCAUUACGUUUUAACACAUGUUUCAAUCGUUUCUGAACGAGUCUUAAAAAAAAAAAAAAAGAUUCAACUUGACGUUUGACAGCUAACGGGCGGGCAUUCGAAAAUCAGCCGUGAGAAGAGUGUUUUGGUUUAAACGAUAUCUUACUGUAAAUUAGUAAUAAGAAGCGAUAAAUAUACAGAUGCAUUAAUAUUAUAA